Molecule: ribosomal RNA, 1301 nt
Filed under: uncultured bacterium
Lineage: Bacteria
Description: partial 16S ribosomal RNA
Rfam family: Bacterial small subunit ribosomal RNA
Source: RNAcentral
CGAGGGGCAGCGGGGAGUGAGGCUUGCCUUACUCUGCCGGCGACCGGCGCACGGGUGAGUAACACGUAUGCAACCUACCCUUUACAGCGGGAUAACCGGAAGAAAUUUCGCCUAAUACCGCAUAUACUCCUUGGGAGGCAUCUUCCGAGGGGGAAAGAAUUUCGGUGAAGGAUGGGCAUGCGUCGCAUUAGUUAGUUGGCGGUGUAACGGACCACCAAGACGACGAUGCGUAGGGGUUCUGAGAGGAAGGUCCCCCACACUGGUACUGAGACACGGACCAGACUCCUACGGGAGGCAGCAGUGAGGAAUAUUGGUCAAUGGCCGAGAGGCUGAACCAGCCAAGUCGCGUGAGGGAAGAAUGUCCUAUGGAUUGUAAACCUCUUUUGUCAGGGAGCAAAGUCACCCACGUGUGGGUGUUGGAGAGUACCUGAAGAAAAAGCAUCGGCUAACUCCGUGCCAGCAGCCGCGGUAAUACGGAGGAUGCGAGCGUUAUCCGGAUUUAUUGGGUUUAAAGGGUGCGUAGGCGGGUUAUCAAGUCAGCGGUAAAAUCGUGGAGCUCAACUCCAUCCAGCCGUUGAAACUGAUGAUCUUGAGUGGGCGAGAAGUAUGCGGAAUGCGUGGUGUAGCGGUGAAAUGCAUAGAUAUCACGCAGAACUCCGAUUGCGAAGGCAGCAUACGGGCGCCCAACUGACGCUGAAGCACGAAAGCGUGGGUAUCGAACAGGAUUAGAUACCCUGGUAGUCCACGCAGUAAACGAUGAAUACUAAUUGUGUGCUCCGAAUGAGGAGUGCGUGAUACAGCGAAAGCGUUAAGUAUUCCACCUGGGGAGUACGCCGGCAACGGUGAAACUCAAAGGAAUUGACGGGGGCCCGCACAAGCGGAGGAACAUGUGGUUUAAUUCGAUGAUACGCGAGGAACCUUACCCGGGCUCAAACGCAGGAGGGAUGUUUUUGAAAGGAGGCAGCUCUACGGAGUCUCCUGCGAGGUGCUGCAUGGUUGUCGUCAGCUCGUGCCGUGAGGUGUCGGCUUAAGUGCCAUAACGAGCGCAACCCCUACCGCCAGUUGCCAACGGGUAAAGCCGGGAACUCUGGCGGGACUGCCGGCGCAAGCUGUGAGGAAGGCGGGGAUGACGUCAAAUCAGCACGGCCCUUACGUCCGGGGCGACACACGUGUUACAAUGGCAGGUACAGCGGGAAGCCACUUGGCGACAAGGCGCGGAACCCGAAAACCUGUCUCAGUUCGGAUUGGAGUCUGCAACCCGACUCCAUAAAGCUGGAUUCGCUAGUAAUCGCGCAUCAGCC